RNAcentral lists this ribosomal RNA (466 nucleotides) under uncultured bacterium. Its description in RNAcentral is "partial 16S ribosomal RNA". It matches the Rfam family "Bacterial small subunit ribosomal RNA", at positions 28 to 507 of the family's 1533-position model. The record is from RNAcentral.
GACGAACGCUGGCGGCGCGCCUAACACAUGCAAGUCGAACGAGCGAGAGAGAGCUUGCUUUCUCGAGCGAGUGGCGAACGGGUGAGUAACGCGUGAGGAACCUGCCUCAAAGAGGGGGACAACAGUUGGAAACGACUGCUAAUACCGCAUAAGCCCACGACCCGGCAUCGGGUAGAGGGAAAAGGAGCAAUCCGCUUUGAGAUGGCCUCGCGUCCGAUUAGCUAGUUGGUGAGGUAACGGCCCACCAAGGCGACGAUCGGUAGCCGGACUGAGAGAUUGAGCGGCCACAUUGGGACUGGGACACGGCCCAGACUCCUACGGGAGGCAGCAGUGGGGAAUAUUGCACAAUGGGGGAAAUCCUGAUGCAGCGACGCCGCGUGGAGGAAGAAGGUCUUCGGAUUGUAAACUCCUGUUGUUGGGGAAGAUAAUGACGGUACUCAACAAGGAAGUGACGGCUAACUACGUG